AUUUUUUAAAAUUCCUGGCGUUUAACUGGUAAAAGUGAAAACAGGGAAUUAUUCCCUAAUCAAGCACGCAGUAUUCCUGCUAUACUUGCGGUCUAUACAUAAACUUUCUUUAUCAGGUUUUCAAAUGUAUGGAAGGUGGGCAUUGUACUUUAUAAUACUCCUACUUCACGAGUUUUAAAAGAUUUUAAGAGCAUUUCGCCAUAUUGUGAACAGAUUUAUAAUAAUAACUUAAACCCAGCUUCAACAGUUAAUAUGAGUCGAUCAAGUUCUCUGAAUGAUUUAUCAUGUGCCCCAUACUUAACAUGUCCGUUGAAUGCUGAACGAUUAACCGAAUUAUUAUCAACACCUCUUGAAGUUGCAACCACUUCUAAACGUAUCUGUGAAAAAUCUGAAUCAGAAACAUUUUUAGAUAAUUCAGAGUUUAUAGAAGGCAAACAAACGAUUGUAAAUCAAGAAGAAAAUUUGAUUAAUAAAAAUAUGUUUAGUAACAAAACUUGUGAAAAAAAUUCAGAGGUAUCACAAAUUGUCAAUGAGCCUGUCACUUUGACUAGUGCCCUAUCUGAUCAUAGAUAUUCGCAGAUUAUAGCGACCAGAUGUCUUCUUACUAUUCCUCUUUAAAAAGAGGCAUAAAAUGGUUCCGCAAAGUGAUGAUGGAAUUAUUGUUUGGUGCAGCUUUGGUGAAUAGUUGGGUGGUUUUUAAUAUGGGAAAGGAGACUAAAAUGCCAAAGAAGGAUUAUCUUGAAUCGGUGAUUGAAGGAUUUACAAAACAACCGAUAUCUACUGGUGGCACAGGAUACUCUCAAAGUCUUAAACUAAAAAAAGAAUCAUAUCUUUGAAAAAAUGGAUUCUUUACGAAGAAAAUGUGUAGGUUGCUACCAGAAACUACGUUCUACCUUAAACAGCAAAGAUGCCAAUAGAAAAGCCAAAAAAUAAAAUCAUUCUGUGCUGAUUGCAAUAGGCCAAUGUGCCUAAAAUUUUUUUUUAUGAAAGUCACAUGUAACCUAACUGAAACUCUCAAAGUCUUAAACAAAAACAAUCAUACCUUUGGAAAAAAAGGGUUCUUUACGAAGAGGUUGCUACCAUAAACUACGUUCUACACUAAACAGUAAAGAUGCCCCUAAAAAAAUGAAAAAAAUUCAAUCAUGCUUGAAAUUUAUGUCAUUUUGUUUUACCUAAAAUGUUUUUUUUAUACUCACGUGUAACCUUUUUCAAUACUUUUUUUAAUAAAUUUAUUAAGUAUACGGAUUUUAUCGAUUC
Molecule: long non-coding RNA, 1257 nt
Organism: Colias croceus (clouded yellow)
Lineage: Eukaryota; Metazoa; Arthropoda; Insecta; Lepidoptera; Pieridae
Exons: 3
Source: RefSeq, a predicted model, not a curated record